RNAcentral lists this transfer RNA (102 nucleotides) under Promethearchaeota archaeon. RNAcentral's name for it is "Candidatus Lokiarchaeota archaeon (marine sediment metagenome) tRNA-OTHER". It matches the Rfam family "tRNA". Rfam says of the family: Transfer RNA (tRNA) molecules are approximately 80 nucleotides in length. Their secondary structure includes four short double-helical elements and three loops (D, anti-codon, and T loops). Further hydrogen bonds mediate the characteristic L-shaped molecular structure. tRNAs have two regions of fundamental functional importance: the anti-codon, which is responsible for specific mRNA codon recognition, and the 3' end, to which the tRNAs corresponding amino acid is attached (by aminoacyl-tRNA synthetases). tRNAs cope with the degeneracy of the genetic code in two manners: having more than one tRNA (with a specific anti-codon) for a particular amino acid; and 'wobble' base-pairing, i.e. permitting non-standard base-pairing at the 3rd anti-codon position. The record is from RNAcentral. Lineage: Archaea; Promethearchaeati; Promethearchaeota.
GGGCCUGUAGAUCAGUAGCAGAUCGCUUGACGUAUUUAAAACUAUUCGUUUAAUACAAGAUUUGCACUCAAGAGGUCACGGGUUCAAUUCCCGUCAGGUCCA